This is a non-coding RNA of Mycena vulgaris, 91 nucleotides long. Lineage: Eukaryota; Fungi; Basidiomycota; Agaricomycetes; Agaricales; Mycenaceae. The record is from the annotation of a GenBank genome assembly.
GUCUUCGUGGAGUAAAACGACUCGCUCCCUCUCCUUAAAAUCUGUUGACUCAGGGUUGGGAGAGUCGGUGGUUCGAAUCCACCCGAGGACG